This is a non-coding RNA of Hordeum vulgare subsp. vulgare (domesticated barley), 124 nucleotides long. Lineage: Eukaryota; Viridiplantae; Streptophyta; Magnoliopsida; Poales; Poaceae. The record is from Rfam.
AUAAUACUCCCUCCGUCUGGAAUUAUUUGUCCACAAAUGGAUGGAAAUGGAUGUAUCUAGAACUAAAANNNNNNUAGAUACAUCCAUUCCUAUGACAAGUAUUUCUGGAUGGAGGGAGUGUCUA